GUCUCCGGCCAAGCCGGCCUGAACGCGCCCGGUCUCGUCUGAUCUCCGAAGCUAAGCAGGGUCGGGCCUGGUUAGUACUUGGAUGGGAUUCCGCCUGGGAAUACCGGGUGCCGUAGGCU
RNAcentral lists this ribosomal RNA (119 nucleotides) under Microcebus murinus (gray mouse lemur). Lineage: Eukaryota; Metazoa; Chordata; Mammalia; Primates; Cheirogaleidae. The record is from RNAcentral.